AACGAACGCUGGCGGCAGGCUUAACACAUGCCAGUCGAGCGCCCCGCAAGGGGAGCGGCAGACGGGUGAGUAACGCGUGGGAACGUACCUUUUGGUUCGGAACAACUCCGGGAAACUGGAGCUAAUACCGGAUAAGCCCUAACGGGGAAAGAUUUAUCGCCGAAAGAUCGGCCCGCGUCUGAUUAGCUAGUUGGUGAGGUAACGGCUCACCAAGGCGACGAUCAGUAGCUGGUCUGAGAGGAUGAUCAGCCACACUGGGACUGAGACACGGCCCAGACUCCUACGGGAGGCAGCAGUGGGGAAUAUUGGACAAUGGGCGCAAGCCUGAUCCAGCCAGGCCGCGUGAGUGAUGAAGGCCUUAGGGUUGUAAAGCUCUUUUGUCCGGGAAGAUAAUGACUGUACCGGAAGAAUAAGCCCCGGCUAACUUCGUG
RNAcentral lists this ribosomal RNA (431 nucleotides) under uncultured bacterium. RNAcentral's name for it is "partial 16S ribosomal RNA". It matches the Rfam family "Bacterial small subunit ribosomal RNA", at positions 29 to 507 of the family's 1533-position model. The record is from RNAcentral.